AAUCCAUAGGUUAAUGAGGCGAACCGGGGGAACUGAAACAUCUAAGUACCCCGAGGAAAAGAAAUCAACCGAGAUUCCCCCAGUAGCGGCGAGCGAACGGGGAGGAGCCCAGAGCCUGAAUCAGCAUGUGUGUUAGUGGAAGCGUCUGGAAAGGCGCGCGAUACAGGGUGACAGCCCCGUACACAAAAGCGCAUGUGCUGUGAGCUCGAUGAGUAGGGCGGGACACGUGGUAUCCUGUCUGAAUAUGGGGGGACCAUCCUCCAAGGCUAAAUACUCCUGACUGACCGAUAGUGAACCAGUACCGUGAGGGAAAGGCGAAAAGAACCCCGGCGAGGGGAGUGAAAAAGAACCUGAAACCGUGUACGUACAAGCAGUGGGAGCACCCUUUGGGGUGUGACUGCGUACCUUUUGUAUAAUGGGUCAGCGACUUAUAUUCUGUAGCAAGGUUAACCGUAUAGGGGAGCCGGAGGGAAACCGAGUCUUAAUUGGGCGUUAAGUUGCAGGGUAUAGACCCGAAACCCGG
This 523-nucleotide ribosomal RNA is filed under the name Salmonella enterica subsp. enterica serovar Oranienburg. Its description in RNAcentral is "partial 23S ribosomal RNA". It matches the Rfam family "Bacterial large subunit ribosomal RNA", at positions 161 to 725 of the family's 2925-position model. Lineage: Bacteria; Pseudomonadati; Pseudomonadota; Gammaproteobacteria; Enterobacterales; Enterobacteriaceae. The record is from RNAcentral.